Molecule: small RNA, 3422 nt
Filed under: Oryza sativa Japonica Group (Japanese rice)
Lineage: Eukaryota; Viridiplantae; Streptophyta; Magnoliopsida; Poales; Poaceae
Description: sRNA Os12g0500050
Source: RNAcentral
GUUUCAAAAAAUAAAUACAUUCUUAAUAGGUAUUGAAAAUAAAACAGGUGCUAAACUAUAGAUAUUUAUCAAUAUAACCAAUAAUAUGGUGAUAUAGAGAUUGUUGUGGUGGUAUACCUUUUUUAGUAUAGUAGCAUCGAAUAAUGAACCUCAUCAUUUUUUUUUCAAAAUAGAGUACUCUAUGUAUACUAUGAAAAUUUGAGUAGUGAUGAUUAACUCCAUAAAAUUGUGUCUAUCGUGUGCCACACAUCUAUUCAAAGCUUAAAAACAACUAUUAUUUUGAUCACCUUCACUUUAUGUGUCCUUUUCUAAAGGGUAUCAAGCAUGAACAAUAGAGUUUGCCACAACGUCAUAAGUAUAGUAGGGUAUCAAACUUAACCGCCAAAAAUGCAAAUGCUACAACACUCUCCUUUGAGCAUACCUCCCACUGAAAUGGCUGAGUUGAGGUGACCCCAAUAUACGAAUACAAUUCUCCAUGAGGCUGUGAUAGUAAAUUAGACAUUAAAAUUAUGCUCCUGGAUGGGUUUUAGGGGUACGACUACAUCGAUGAGGGACUCAUCUUUCAACUCAACAGAGAAAGAAAGUCUUGGUGGCUACGAUCGGCUUCACCCGUUAGAUGGGCAUUCAUGUUUAUCUUUAACGGUGUUAUUUCAUUAAUUGGUAUAAGUGGUAUUUUUAAAAUAUUUAUAUAUGGAUUCGGAAAUAAGUGAAACAUGAACACUUAGAUAAGUAGUGAAUGUUUUAGUGUAUCAAUGAUGUAUUAGGCUUAUUUUAUUGGUACAUAUCCAGUUUUAUCUAUUUAUAGAUACACAACUUUUAAAACAAUAAUAAUAAGUCGUGGUGACAAUAGGAGAAUUUAUAAGUAAUCGGGACAAACUGAUUUUCUUUUAAUCUUGGAGACAUUCUUAUCAUUUACAAAGUAUAUUAAAGUCAGUUUAUCUCACAAUAUAAAAAAACAUGACAUCUUUUAGCAUUAUUUCAUAAAUCAUAGAACAAUAAAUAAGAUGCCCGCGCAUCUGCGCGGGCUUCCUUCCUAGUUAUAUACUAAAAGUCCAUUAAACUUUCUACAAACGCUCAUAAGCCGCCACGUGGCGUCCUACAAACGUUCCUAGGCCGCCACAUGGCAUUAUCAAAUCUUACCAUCGAUUUUCACAUAAAUUGGUGGACCCGCCAUUUUACACCAUUGGAUUAGAUCUAUUAUUAAAAAAUAAUAACUUUCUCUUUGUAUGAUUUAAGCACUACUAUUGUUGCCAUGUACGUACAAGUUGAUACGAUGCAAACCACGUCCUUCUCCCGUGCGUACUUACCUACACAAAAACAAAACAAAUAGUUUACGUACUGUUCACUGGAAAGAAAAGAAAAAACAGUACGCACAUACAUAGAAAAGACAAUAAAAUAAUACAUCAUAGAAAUCGAUGAUCUGUUUUCUAAAAAACUACAGCACAAAUAUAAAUAUAUAUAGUUAAACUAAGAUCUAUAAUAAUAAUAUAAAAUAUCCAAUCAUUAACUACAUUUUAAAAGUAAAAUAAAUGUAUUUCUUUGGGUCAUAUGCUGCUAGCGACUACCUAUUGGUCACACAAUACAAUUAGAUUUUUAAACCAUAUGAUUGGCAACAUUUAGCUUAUAUUAGUAAAUACAACACCAAACACAUUUUCUAAUAGAUCUAAAAUUAUAUCUAUAUUUUAAAAAUAGAUAACUAAAGACUAGAAUCCGUUGGAAUAUGUCUCACAAAAAAAAUCUCUGCCUCUCGUCCUGCUAUACAUAUACUUCCUCUGAUCUCUCGUCUUAUAUUUUUUAUCUAACAACCUAAUAUUAAAAAAAAUAGCUAAAUGGCUUAUAAUUUCUAAAAUUAUAUUUGAUUUUUUUCAUUUAUUUUAACUAUUGUUUUAUUUAAAAUUAAUUGAAUAAUUCAAUAUCCAUUAUAGUUGUAUUUUACUAUAUAAAAAUUAAAAUACUCCUUUGCAUGGAAACUGAAUGAAAAUAAAAAAUUAUAAUAGAAUGAAAACAUGUAUUAUUCACAUUAAAUCAGUCUACGUAAUAAAAACCAAUUAAACACCUUUAGAGCACACUUAAGUCACCACAUGUCACAUUUUAAAAUUAUAAAAUAUUUCAAUUAAAUUCAUGGACCCAUUAUUUUCAACCAUUAAAUUAAAUUUACGAAAAAUCUUACGCCGCCACAUGUGUUGUCCUGAAAAUCAUAAAUAAUCUUAGAAAUUUUGAGAAAAAAAUUAAACCUGUUAUCAUUGGUUUUAAGUUACAUUAUUUGGAUAAGUUAUAAAAAUAAAUCGCAUCUACCUCCUCGCCCCCUUCACAUGCGUGAAGACCACUAUUAAUCACAUCCCUAUUUUUGGGUAGGAGUAAGCUAAAAGAGAAAUAAUUAAUAUAUUAAAACAACCAUAUUUUUUAAGCUACGUCUGAUUUCUAAUAUAAUUGUUGCUCUGUUUAUAAUUAAACUAGGAAUUUAAGAUUCGUAUAUUUAUAUUUUCCUAUGUACAAAAUAUGACAUUCAACCACAUUCAUCUCGCGUGCUUUGCAUACUAUCCAAAUAUGAUUGAAAUACCUUAAACAAAUUUGUUGCACAUAUUACAUCACUAUACAUCAUUCUGUAAACAUAUAUAGCUAAAUUAAAUCAAUAGUUAUCCAAACAAAAAUUUCAAAGUGAACUAUGAAACAUUUUUUUAUUAAGGAAGAACAUCCUUGCCCUUUUACAUGUCAUUUGAAUUGCUGUAAAAGAAUUACGAAAUAAUCCAAUACAGGUUGCAUCAUCAUAUGUUGUUUGUCAAACAUGCAUAGCUAAAUUAGAUAUACACUAUCUAAGCAAAUAAGACUAACUAAAAUAUGAAGUCCAAACCACCAAUGCAUCGAAAAUCCAAUGGCUUUAGUUAGAGAAUAUAUGAUUACUUCAUUAUUUUUUUAAAAAAUGUGCUAAUAUUAUCCAAGCAAGCUAAAUAAUCUUUCGUGUAUCUGCUCUAAACUAUGUUACCAUCUAAUUGACUUUAGAUGGUGCUUAAUGCACUUUUAGUAUAUCAUUGAUAUAUGUUCAAGCGUGUUGUUCUGGCCUUCUAAGCAUUUCGGGUAAUUCCGUUUACUUUCUUUGUGCAUAGACCAUUCAAAAGGUGAAUCAUCCCUAUAUAUGAACAUUAAUUGUCUGCAAAUAUAUUUUUGUUGUAUAUAUAUCCUUUAAUGAUUAACUUUGGAGUCCAUUUAGAUUUUUCGAUAUAACAAGACAUAGAAAUAAGAGUAACUAAGCUUGACCAAAAAAGUGAUCACAACUACGAUGAAUCACAAGACAACCUUCAUAGGUGCAAUGACCACAUAUCAACACGGUGACUAGGAGCUGCAUGAAAAUCAUAUGGCAGGGGAAAAGGAACGAUGAAUUUAGCUGUCUUACGUUUUCACCAUCAGGGCCAAAAGCAUUCAUC